CAGAAGCCAACUUAUUGGGGCUGCAUAUUGCUUUCCAUCCCCUGUUGAGUGUGGAAAGAAAAAUACAGCCUCUCCCAGAAAAAAGAAAAAAGAAAAGGGGAAAGAAAAGAGAUUCAAGUUGGUUGGGAUUCCCUGUUCUGAACUCUUCUGGAGUAAGGUGUCCUCUCCUUCGAAUGACAGGAAGAGAAAGAGAUGCUUUUCCUUCUCUGCCAAAGAGCUUAGUGGUUAUAGAGCUCACCCAAGAGGCAGUGA
Molecule: long non-coding RNA, 252 nt
Filed under: Crocodylus porosus (Australian saltwater crocodile)
Lineage: Eukaryota; Metazoa; Chordata; Crocodylia; Crocodylidae
Description: lncRNA (ENSCPRG00005008480.1)
Source: RNAcentral